Molecule: ribosomal RNA, 418 nt
Filed under: Physconia distorta
Lineage: Eukaryota; Fungi; Ascomycota; Lecanoromycetes; Caliciales; Physciaceae
Description: partial 18S ribosomal RNA
Source: RNAcentral
AGCUUGCAUUCAGUCUGCUAUCUCGAAGCGGGCGACGCUUGACUGAUGCUGGGAGGCGGCUCUUGGGAACCGCCAACCAGCAGCGGCCGUGCUUGCACGCGCGGCCGUUCACAGAUCACGAUCGAGCGGUCCCUAAGGAUUAAGAUAUGACCGGUCCCGCCUUGCGAAUGGGCGGGAGUCAACGUUCCGUAGGUGCAGAGUUUGCCUACCGCAUGCCUAAUGCGCGGUCUGCACCCUUGGGUGCAGGCAACACCGUUCAAAUGCUGGGCGUGCCGGGCGGAAGCCCGUCACCAUCAGCAGCCGACGUUCCGACGUCCGGCCCACAGAUCAUCCGACGGUGACCUAUUGAGGUUAAGAUAUGAUCGGUCCCGACCCGCCCUGGGUCUCGGAGACACGGAACCUGCGGAAGGAUCAUUAC